UGGGGAAUAUUGCACAAUGGGCGCAAGCCUGAUGCAGCCAUGCCGCGUGUAUGAAGAAGGCCUUCGGGUUGUAAAGUACUUUCAGUCGGGAGGAAGGUGGUAAGGUUAAUAACCUUGGCAAUUGACGUUACCGACAGAAGAAGCACCGGCUAACUCCGUGCCAGCAGCCGCGGUAAUACGGAGGGUGCAAGCGUUAAUCGGAAUUACUGGGCGUAAAGCGCACGCAGGCGGUUGAUUGAGUCAGAUGUGAAAUCCCCGGGCUUAACCCGGGAAUUGCAUCUGAUACUGGUCAGCUAGAGUCUUGUAGAGGGGGGUAGAAUUCCAUGUGUAGCGGUGAAAUGCGUAGAGAUCUGGAGGAAUACCGGUGGCGAAGGCGGCCCCCUGGACGAAGACUGACGCUCAGGUGCGAAAGCGUGGGGAGCAAACAGG
Molecule: ribosomal RNA, 429 nt
Filed under: Chloroflexota bacterium
Lineage: Bacteria; Bacillati; Chloroflexota
Description: Chloroflexi bacterium partial 16S ribosomal RNA
Rfam family: Bacterial small subunit ribosomal RNA
Source: RNAcentral